CCGCCGGGGAGCUGCGUGCGCCCGGGCCGGAAGGGGCCCGCGCCCCCGGCGCCCACAGGUGCGGCGUCCUCGCCUCCUCCGCGCCCCGCGCGCCCCCCGGGCUGCGCCAGCGAAGGGCAGAGUCUGGAGCCGGGAGCGGGACGGUGCAGGCUCAGGGAAAGGCAGGGUUGUAACAUCCAUCUGAGAUGAGGGUGAAGAGAAAGUUCAGAGGGAAAAGAUUUGGAGAGAUGAUUCCUGUUCGACCUUCAUAAAUGGAAAGGACUGGAAAGGCUGCCUGCCAGAGGCGCUGAGAAUCUUUCACAGGGCUGGUCCCUCCUGCAAAAUGGAGGAUCAUGCCACGUGGUGAAGAGGAGUCACUCCCAGAGCAGCUGCCAGAAGCUCCAGCUUGCCAUGGCCUGGGGCCAUUGCCAACACUCUGCAGGGUGACAGACUUUGAGGCUGAGGGAUGUUCUGCUGUAAGGAGGGAGACCUUACCCUGGCGAAAGCGAAGCUCUCAUCAGUGCUGAUGAAGCUGCUGUUCACUUACGAGUCACAGAAAUUUCCUAAAUGACCCCCAUUUGUGACCUCAAAAUUUGGAAGUUGCGUAACCUCCUGGAAUUUGCAUAGUGGCCAUCAUUCGUGGAAUGCUAUUUCCAGAACUGAAUUCCCAGGAUGAGGCUGUGUUUGGAAUUUAAGGUUUUCUUACAGGCACCACUUAAGCAUUUUAUUUUCAUCUGCUUCAUAGCUCUUUAGUUGUCCAGUGGUGGGUUACCAAAUAGCUGCAGUUUUGUUGUUUCACAUAAAACGUUUACAUAUGGAAAACAUGAUUUGUAGGUAUAUUACUAAGACAAUAAAAGUAGACCAUCAGUCCGUAGGAAGUUCUGUUUUUGUUUUGUAAAAUUAUGUAUCGGAAAAGAAACCCUCUGGGCAGCCUCUGUACCCUCCUCCCUGCUGCUGUGUUAGCUGCUGAUGGCUACUGCUGCCCAACUAGCUCCUUUGUGUCAAGGUGGGAUCAUUUUUGCAGUGUUACUCUUGUUGGAAAACUCCCUGUAGGACCAGGCUGAGCCUAGACUUCAGCAGUAACCACAUCCUUGCUUUGCUUCAUUCCCACCCUGUCCUGCUUCCUUCACAUCAGUACAAGUUCCUUCUGAAACAUACUCCCUCAGUAAAUCACUUGUGUAAGGAUCUUUAUCUCAGGCCCACCUCAAGAGACCGUACAUGAUUAGCACCAAAUGAGGGUAGAUACAGAAAAAUGUUAAAAUAAAGCAAUAUUUUGGAAAAAGGUCCUUUGCAAAGUAACAAAGGAUAUCCAUUUAAAUAUAUAAAAAUAUGCAUAGAUACUUGGAAAUUUUGACGUAUAGUGACAGAGUAAUGGGAAUAUUGUAUACAAUUCUUGACAUUCAAGUAAUAGAAGCAUAGAAAGUCAAAAGUUGGGCAUAGAUGACUCCCAUCAAGAACAAAUGUGUACAUCCAUGAACUUACAUUUAAUGAUCAUGACCCUGUCAGCUACAUCUUGUUUGACAUUUACGGAAAGAUGUGUGGUAAUGGAUUGGUGAAUUCAUUAGCAUUAUGAAUCAUGUAAAAACAGAAUCUUUAACAUAUUUUAUUAAGUGUUGACUAAAAACUGUCAGUUUGGAGAGGACAAAGAUUACAAAUGUUUUAAAUUAGGUUCUCUAAGGGCAGUGAAAUUGAAACAAUCAAAUUUUACCCUAAAUGAUCAAAGGAUGGAAUGCAGAUCUCUCUGUCAUAUUGUCAUAUCUCUGGACUCCGUCUGUCCAGAGGAGUUUAUGUAAGUCCAGAAAAGCACAAAACUCAGGAAUGAGCGGAAGGGGAAAUGCCAAAUGCUGAGUCAGACACUGGAUGAGAAGUUCUGUUCUGAUUUUUCAAAAGAAAAAGACAACAGGUUUGAGAUUGAGGCUCAUUCAUUUAUUGAUUCAACUCAUAUUUAAAGAGCACCUCUUCUGUUCUGGGGGUCCCAUGCUUGUUGCUAUGGUUACAGACAUGAAAAGGCAGAAAUGAGCUCCUAAGCCAAAUUUGCUGUUGUAAUCAUUCCUGGUCUGACUUCCCUGCUUUUUGCAAAUGAUUUCUGGAGUUUAUAAGCUCUGUCUACCUUUGUGUGGUUUCCUAGGGCUUUCAAAUAUUUAGCAAUGUCUAAACUUUUGUCAAUUGCCUUAAACUCUUCAGUUAAUUCAUAUUCCAGAAUUGUCACAGGGAAAAAAUGGAUCUAUUCCCUUUAUCCCUCCCCUUAAGAGCUCUACAGUAAUAGAUAAUUUAAUGUAUGAGCAUUCAUCAUUAAAUAUUCUGUAUCUUAAUUAUUUUUCCAUGAAAAAAUGAAAAUUCUACUUAAAUCUCUUGGAGUCUGAUGCUAAAUGUUGGCAUCCAAGUUGUAAAGUUCUUCAAGACUUUUGGACACAAGAAAUCCCAUAUUUGAGAGAUUAGUCCAUCUUGUGUCAUUAGAUUUUAGUGUCUUGAUUGAUUUAUUCUGUUCAGUCCCUAACCCAUCUGUAUUACGACGACUGAUAUUUGUGAAUAUCUUUCAUGACAUCUGAUUUGUCAUAACUUUGAGAAUUUUAUCUUCGUAAAUUCAGUAUAUUAAUAGUGUAUGUAGUUUUGCUGAGUAUAGAAGUUAGGAUUCAGAUAAGUAACUAGAAGUUAACCUUCUAGAAACAGGAGUUUGGUCUGGUGUGCUAAUAUAGCUUGUGACAUUCUGAAGAAUAUUUUGACUAAAUUUUGAGAUAAAUUGAUAGGAAUAAAUUUCUCAAGUACUUUAAAGAAAAUUAUUUAUGAUGGUUCUUUCAUCUGUUAAUGGAAGAGGGUUAUUUUUCUCUUAAUGAUGUAAGGAUUUCGUAUCUUAAUUUUUAAAUAGAAGUAUGUAAAUGAAAUUUGGACUUGGGGAACCACUUUGAAUUUCCAUAAGAGUCUUCCUUUUUAUAAAACCACACUGUCUGAGAAGAAGUCUCACACUGUUGUGCCUUAAUUUAGCAUGUAAACAAAUUCUUUAUAUAAAUUAACUUCGUCACUAGACUGUUUCCAGUGUGUUUGUGCCUGUGUCAACGCUCUUGAGAUUUAUGGAUUGUUGGACUUUUAAAAAUCCAUUUGGAUCAAGAGCGUUCUCUAUGGAAGAGUAGAUACCUACCUAAUUGAAAAGAAAAGCACUAUUUUAUCUGUUACCAAGAAUUCUUCAUUUUCAUCAUUCAGUCUCUGAGAAAGUUAACUAAUGAGGAAUAGAUUAUAUUACUUAGCAACCUUCUAUUCAUUUUACCACAUUGUUGAAAGCAGGUGUUCUGCAAAUAAUUCACAUAAUGAAACAAUGGACAUAAAUUAUAUACCUUAAGAAACAUUAAAAAUUCAAAUAGUUAUAACCCCAUUCAUAGCUCAUUUGUUAAUUUCUAAGAAAAUUAAUUUUGAAGUAAAUUAUUAAUUUCUUUUUUUUAAAGAUUUCAUUUAUUUAUUUGUCAGAGGGAGAGAGAGAGAGAGCACAAGCAGGGGGAGCGGCAGGCAGAGGGCAAAGCAGGCUCCCUGCUGAGCAAGGAGCCCCAUGCGGGACCUGAUCCCAGGAUCCUGGGAUCAUCACUUGAGUCGAAGACACUUAACCAGCAAAGCCACCUAGGCAUCCCAAAUUAUUAACUUCUAAGAAAAACCUUAAUAAACAAAAUAAUUUAAGAGUAUUUUGAAGUAGCAAAAAUAUGUUACAUUUUAUAGAUUCUAUUCACUGCUUCCACAGUACAUACAUUUUUACUGUAUUAACUGAUUCGUUGGUAUCCUCUAAAUACCUUGAAUUUUUAAUAUGACUGGUAUUAUUGGGGUUGGUCCUCAGGUGUGCAUAUCAGAAGACAAACACAGAAAUGGCCAAAAAUUAGCAGGCUUUUAUCACUCCCCGCAAAAAAUACAUUUUCUUAGCAGGUGCAAAAUUGGAACUCUAAAUUGAAACAACACUAAAAUAACACAUUUGCUUAUAGUGGAUAAUUUCUGCACUUUUUUUUUUGAGAGAGAGGUCAAGAGCACACAAGUGGGUGGGGGAGGGGCAGAGGGAGAAGGAGAGAGAGAAGCUUAAGCAGGCUCCAUGCUGAGCGUGGAGCCUGAUGCAGGGCUCCAUCUCACAACCCUGAGAUCGUGACCUGAGUCAAAACCAAGAGUCAGACGCUUAACCAACUGAGCCACCCAGGAGCUCCAGUUUCUGCACUAUUUUGUAAAAAGUUUCUGCACUAUUUUGUAAAGAGUUUCUGCAAGUUUAAGACAAGAUAUCGAUAAUUUUAUUAAUAUCAGAAUUUGAUAGUCUGAGGCCCUCUGAUAAACAAACAAACAAAAAAAACCCCACUGGCAAAACAAAAAAAACUACAUGAGGUACUGUGAGAAAAUGAAAAAGAAGUUAAAGUUGGUCAUUUGCAAUUUAAUUAAGACAAUAUCUUGAACGCAAAUGAAGAAGAUAUAAGACAAGUUCAGAGGAACAUUAGAAAUUUGUCUUUCUUGGUUCUUUAAUUUUAUAGAAGUUGAAAUUGAAACAUACUAGGUUAGUGACUUGUCCAAAGUCAUGGCUAAAUUGUGGCAGAACCGGCUCCUGACUUAUCUAUUCCCCCUUUCAUUGCGUGUCACUGCCUCCCAUGAUACAAAGACAUGGACACAUGCCAGUUAAUUAUAAUUGCUUAAGAAAAAUCAGUUGAAAAAUGAUGAACUGUAAUCACAUAUGGGCCGAAAUAACAUUAGUGUAUUCAAGACUAUUUGGGAGAGGAAACUCCAUUCUGGAACAUCCAUCUCGGACUUGCUGGCAUAACAAUCUGCGACUUUAUUUUUAACAGUUAUCAAUCACUAGUAUAAUAAGGCAAACGCUACCGUGAAAUUUAAUUAUAGGAUCAAAUUUUUAAAAAUUAUAUAUGUUUAAAUCUUGUACAAAGGAAAGGGGUUGCGUUUUUUUCAGCCCCAAAAUUCUCUCCUUCUUCCUUUUGAUUUGAUGUUGAGACUAGCUCGUUUCAUAGUCAAGUCUGUAUGAAAAUAACCCAGAGAGGGAAAAACAAGGACUUUAACAGAUCUCAUGUGGCAAUAGUGUGAAGCUAAAUAUCACUGUGUUCUAUUGAAUGAUUUUUAACUUCUUUUUAGGUGUGGGUUGGGGAAUAGGUAAUAACUGAGUAAAAUUUAAUUGGUUUAAUUCAUCCUCAUUCUCUUUACUAUUUAAAUCAUACAGUCAAUGAAUCUAUUCUUGAUUUGUUUUAAUCAGCUUGUUUUAAUCUAAACUUAGGAUAAGACUUAGAAAAAGAACAUCAGUUAAGGUGUGGUCUUUUGCAGGUUAUACAUAAAUUAUGUGGGAAACCAAUUAUUUUAUGUAUUUCAUACCCUCAUUAAUAUAUACCAAAUAUUUAUAACAACUCAUUAGGCUUUAAACUUUUUUCGAGGGCGCCUGGGUGGCUCAGAUGGUUAAGCGUCUGCCUUCGGCUCAGGUCAUGAUCCUAGGGUCCUGGGAUCGAGUCCCGCAUCGGGCUCCCUGCUCUGCGGGGAGCCUGCUUCUCCCUCUCCCACUCCCCCUGCUUGUGUUCCCUCUCUCGCUGUGUCUCUCUCUGUCAAAUAAAUAAAUAAAAUCUUUAAAAAAAAAAAUAAUGUCCUUCAUAGUAGAAAGAUCCAGUUUAGAAUAAUGCACUGCAUUUUACUGUCCUGUCUCUUUAGCCUCUGCAGGUUUAGGAAAGUCUUCAGUCUUUCCUUGAAUCUCGUAAACUGGGCACUUUUACGUAUGGACCAAUUAUUUUGUGGAAUGUCCUUCAAUUUGGAUAUGUCUAAUUUUACCUUGUGAUAAAAUGAAUGCAGCUUUGGCAGGAAUAUCACACACAUGAUGCUGCCGUCUUCUGAUUUCAGCUCGUCUGAGGUGCAGGAUUUUGACCUGUGCGAUUACCGAUGAUGAGCACUUUGAUAACUAGGUUAAAGUGGUAUCUGCCAGGUUUCUUCACAGUGCAGUUACCCUUUCUUCCUUUGUAAAUGAGAAGUAUUCAUGGUGAGGUACUUUAUUUUAUUUUAUUUUUUAGAUUUUUGUAUUUAUUUUAGAGAGAGAGUGCACACGAGCGGGGGGAGGGGCAGAGAGAGAGAGAAAAGCAGACUCCCCACUGAGUGCAGAGUCUGCACAGGGCUCCGUCUCACAACCUUGAGAUCAUGUCCUGAACCAAAUCCAAGAGUUGGACGCUUAACCGACUGAACCCCCCAGGUGCCCCUUAAGGUCCUUUAAGACAAUGAAAACACCUCAUUCCUCUUCAAAUUUCAAGUUAUUCACUUAUUUGUUUAUGUAUUUAUAGACUCAUGGUCUACUAUUUUAUUUAAUGGACUAAAAUCCAUUACUAUCUUUAUAUAUUUUGAUGCUAAAAUUGUUGUGGGAGCCACUUUGAUUGUCUUUAUAUUCUUUUGCUCCAUUAUUCUUUGAGCGUUUCUUUACUUUCCAGCACAAUAAAACAUUCUCAUCUCAAACUUUCCCUGCAUCAUCCUUGUAUUGGUCAUUAUUCUAAGGAAUCUUGUUCCU
Mirounga angustirostris (Northern elephant seal) is the source of this 6472-nucleotide long non-coding RNA. RefSeq lists it as uncharacterized. The record is from RefSeq and is a predicted model, not a curated record. The transcript has 4 exons. Lineage: Eukaryota; Metazoa; Chordata; Mammalia; Carnivora; Phocidae.